Molecule: long non-coding RNA, 602 nt
Organism: Cyprinus carpio carpio
Lineage: Eukaryota; Metazoa; Chordata; Actinopteri; Cypriniformes; Cyprinidae
Source: Ensembl
GGUUCUUGAAGUAUCAUAGUGUUAAGUUAGGUAAAGUUAUGUAUGUGUUUGUUUUUCACCAUUGUCAUCAUUAAAACCUCCCUAUUUUCGUCUGGCUCCCUUCAUCUGAAGACAUGCACUUGUUACAGAAGAACUGACUGAAACUGAAAAUGCAGGCUGAGGAAGAGCUAAGGUGUUUGAGGCAGAGCGGUUGGAGGUUGGGACGAUAAGUAGGGGAUGUCCUCGAGCUCGCAAACCAGGUAUUCUUUUGACUUUCAUGCCUCUUUGGAACAUUCCUGUUCACACAGACUGUGGAGAGAUGGUGUGCAGCUUCAUGAAAUUUGAAGUUUACUGCCGAUGGAAAGCUUCUGGGACACUGACAGACAGCACUUCCCAGUCCCCAAUGAGGAAACAGACUUAUAUAUCUUACAGAAUGAUGUUUUCUGUCAUGGCGAGUUUAGGUACUUUUGUAUGUAAGUGAUUUUUCCUUUGUUCUCCAGAUUCUUUCUAAUAAGUGAGUUGAAGUGUUGUAACUGAGUAUAGUGUUGGGUUUUUCUUGUGCAUCAGCAAAAACCAUUUUUGUGUAUUUGUUUUAGAGAUUGUUUUGUCAAUAAAUGUAGAGG